UACGUAGGUGGCAAGCGUUGUCCGGAAUUAUUGGGCGUAAAGCGCGCGCAGGCGGUCCUUUAAGUCUGAUGUGAAAGCCCACGGCUCAACCGUGGAGGGUCAUUAGAAACUGGGGGACUUGAGUGCAGAAGAGGAAAGCGGAAUUCCACGUGUAGCGGUGAAAUGCGUAGAGAUGUGGAGGAACACCAGUGGCGAAGGCGGCUUUCUGGUCUGUAACUGACGCUGAGGCGCGAAAGCGUGGGGAGCAAACAGG
RNAcentral lists this ribosomal RNA (253 nucleotides) under uncultured bacterium. Its description in RNAcentral is "partial 16S ribosomal RNA". It matches the Rfam family "Bacterial small subunit ribosomal RNA", at positions 524 to 776 of the family's 1533-position model. The record is from RNAcentral.